UUAUUCUCCUCCUGUGAUCUAAGGCUUGAUGAUGGACCUCCACUCAACGGUCGUGAUGGAUGGAUUAGGUCAGGGUGGAUGAACCACUUUGAUGUUGCUGGUUGUUCAUAACAUGUACUUGGGCUCCUCCUUCCAGCUUCAGAGUGCAAUGGAGGAAUGGUGAGCUGAAGCUUCGCUGUUUUUCUUCCCCAUCAGAACUCAAACCAGCUAUUUGGAAGGAAUGACAUGCUUUUCUCUGAACUCUUUAUUCCCUGGCUCAUUUCCUAAAUUGAUGCCCUCUGACCCACACUUUGGAGCCUAUAUUGUGAGAUCUAUUGAUCUGUUUUUUUGGGACAGAAUUAUGAUGUAAGUACUAUACUUUUAAUAGCAACCAUUUUCUUUGUGAA
Molecule: long non-coding RNA, 386 nt
Organism: Dendrobium catenatum
Lineage: Eukaryota; Viridiplantae; Streptophyta; Magnoliopsida; Asparagales; Orchidaceae
Exons: 3
Source: RefSeq, a predicted model, not a curated record